Molecule: non-coding RNA, 946 nt
Organism: Ictidomys tridecemlineatus (thirteen-lined ground squirrel)
Lineage: Eukaryota; Metazoa; Chordata; Mammalia; Rodentia; Sciuridae
Source: RefSeq, a predicted model, not a curated record
UGUGCAGAGAAAAGACCAUGUGAAGACAUACAGAGAAGAUGGCCGCUCUAUAAUCCAAGGAAGGAGGAGUUAGUAAAAAAAAAAAAAAAAAAAAAAAGCAACCCUAUCAAAACUGACACCUUAAUCUUGAACUUUCAGCUUCCAGAAUUGUGAGAAAAAUGUCUCUGUUUAAGCCACUCAGUCUGUGGUACCUUAUUAUGGCACUCCUAGCAUAUGAAUGCACAUGGAUUUUCUAUGACUUUACCGACCUUGUGAGACUUCUUUGCUUGUCAUUGCAAUGAGCCUUCUUGGAGGAUGCUUUAAAAUUAGGUAUGUUGGUCAGUGUCAAUUUAAGUUUUGGUAAAGUCAGUCAACAAACUAAGUCUGCUCCUUCUGAAAAAUAUCCUUGAUUCUUACUGUCUUUAUACGACAAUCGCUGAAUGUGUUUCUCUAGUGGUAAGAACUUCAAGACUGACCCUGACAUACUAUGGCUUUUGUGUCCUAGCUUGUUUGGUAAGAAAGCAGAGCUUAAAGGUAAGCUUUAAUCCAUUGUCUGUUUGCAACUGAAGGUAAUCCUGAUGAAAACUCGGAAGCAUUUUCCUAAUUAUAACAGCUGGAUAUGUUUUCGCUAAUUCUUAUCAGUGGCAAAUUAUUCUAGGCCUUAUUGCCUAAUGAAUAUUUUAAUUACUUGAUUAAUUACUCAGUUUCAUUACUUACUGAAUGUCCAGGCCCACUGGCAGGGAGAAGAAACAAAAGAGAAAAUGGAGAGGACAGAGUUGCUUCCCGUAUCUCUUCGGAUCAUGUUCCAUAGGAGACCCUUGGGAAAAUCCUCUACAUCCAAUCUGAGGCCCCAUAUCACCACCAGCAGAAUACCUGGGUAAUUUAUAAAGAAGAGAGAUUCUAGAGCUCAGGGUUCUGGAGCUUGGGAAAUCCAAGAGCAUGGCACUAGAAUCUGGUAAGGGCCUUU